This 1793-nucleotide long non-coding RNA is filed under the name Anas platyrhynchos platyrhynchos (common mallard). RNAcentral's name for it is "lncRNA (ENSAPLG00000017472.1)". Lineage: Eukaryota; Metazoa; Chordata; Aves; Anseriformes; Anatidae. The record is from RNAcentral.
UUUCCAGCCUUUUUUCCUCACACGGUUGAAAUCAAUGUCACCUAAUAAAUAGCUAGUGAAGAGUGAUACUUGAGAUAUUUGAAACCUCAAAUAUAGAUAUUGGAGGAAGGCCCAUGGUAUAAUUUCUGUGCAUUUUCUAUGGACUUUCUUGCUGUUUUUCUCCCUUAAAUUUCUCUCCACUUUGCAUUUGUUCUCCAAGGACACAAAAUAAAAACAAACACUGUAUUUCCAUUUUCAUUCAGCUGUUUGGACAUAAUUACAGCUCUUUGGUAAUGUAAUACCAAUAGCUGUAUCAGGACCUGAAAGAAAAUCACAAGACAGUGCAAUUGUUUGCUUGUUAAUUUUAAUUUUAUUUAUUUUUAUUUUUUUUCCAAAGCUUGUACUGGUAGAUUAUCUCCUGUGCUUUUCUCCCCAUGCUUCACUUGCAAGAUACAAAGGCAGCAAAGACUCGUGGAAGGUCCUCUUGGCAGGAGGCAAAACUCCUGUAGGAGGAAGCAGGGAGAGAUCUGCUGGUAACUCCUUUAUCUCUUCUUCUUAGCCUGGGAGUGUGUUGGAGAGAAGCAAGGAAGUGACAUAAUUAACUUUGAUAAUCUCUCCAGUUGGUAGAUGGACCCUGGGGGAAAAUGACUGAAUAGCAUUUGUUGGAAUAGUCUCGUUCUGAGGCCAAAAGGAGAGAAAUAAAGGAGCUAUGAGCAGUGCUUCUAGCCAAGCCUUCACCGUACCUACUGCAAUUCAGGCAUUGCAAAAAGGUGUUGAGAAAUAUAUUUAGAACUGCUUCAGUUUGUGUGUUGUUUUUCAGGUUAAAAUGUUACACGCUUCCAUCUAUCUCAUUUGUGUCUGGUGGGUGGGGGGAGAGAAGGGAGGGGGCGUUAAUACUGCAGGACGUUAAAUCGCACAAGUGGUUAAGUGACGUUAAGUGGUGGUGUGCCCUGCUUAAUUUUGGUCGCUGAGCAUCUCACUGCCAGCGCGGUUUUCCUGUCACAACUCGGCAGCGCGCACCUACAGAGCUGCUGCCGUUUGCCACGGAGCGAUCGAUACCCGCUCCAGCCGAGCCGAUACCGAACGCGAAGCCCCUCUGUGAGACACGGAGGAGCCCGUCCGUGCCACCGGCCGUAGGGGAAGGGAGGGGAGCCGGGGCGUGGAGCGAGGGCCGUGUCCGUGUUCGUGUCAGUGCCCCCAGCAGGUGGCAGCAGGGAGCGGCCGCCUCCCGCCCCAUCCCAACCGGAAGUCGCCGGGUGCGGGCAGUGCAGGCAGCGCAAGCAGCGCAAGCAGUACAGGCAGUACAGGCAGUACAGGCAGUACAGGCAGUACAGGCAGCGGCGGGGCCCCGGAAGUCGCCCCCUGAGGCGGCGCCAUGCCGCGCCCCGCCGCGCUGCGAGGCUGCGGGGGCUGCAGGGCGGCGUGGGCGCCAUCUUAGCUGCAGCACGAGCGCUGCAGGUCGAGGCACACAGCGCGGGUCCCGCAGCGCUGCGGCCGGCGGAGACUUAAGCUUGCAAACGUUUUCUGGUCCUGUAAACCUUUUUUGGUCACAGAUGAGAGGGACAAAAGUCUCCAUUAAAAAAUACAGAGCAUCUGAAGUCACCAAAAGACACAUCAAGAGUAUCCUUCAUUGCUUGGAAACAGAGGAUUUUAGUUCUUCAAAGAUCCAUAAAUACAGGAAAACAAACUUCAGCAUUCUUUACAGAAAUAGUGAAAACCGAUUAACAUUGAAUUACAAUGAAGAAAUGAGAACAAACAUAAAUGAGCUAACUGUGGGCCUCAGAAGAAAUCGUUGGACAAUGUUUCAGCCAUGA